Long non-coding RNA from Pecten maximus, 814 nucleotides. RefSeq lists it as uncharacterized. The record is from RefSeq and is a predicted model, not a curated record. NCBI's taxonomy places the organism in Eukaryota, Metazoa, Mollusca, Bivalvia, Pectinida, Pectinidae. The transcript is spliced from 3 exons.
AACAAUAUUGACUGGGAAUUAAUAAUAAUGCCACAUGCAGAAGUUUAUUGUCAUUGAGACAGGAAAUAAGGAUUGAUUUUUGUCAGCAUAUUGAUCUACGGAAAAUAAUAAUUCCUUGAUUGCAAAGAAAGUAAAGUGCGUGGAACAGUGCUUGGUGUGCUAAUCUGUAGGAGACAACAGACAGGAUCUUAUGUACCACCACGGCAAUUACUGCCACAAGAUAUACAAUUCAGGAAGCGGAAAGACCUAUAACAAGGAUGACUAUCAAUCUGUGAGUACUGAGGUACCAAACACCGGCAGGACGUGUAACAGAACUGUACCUGGUGUAAUGAAAUUGUGUAAUAUAUACGAUACGAACAUGGAGGAAAUAAGACGACGGCAUGGAACUCAUGUAAACAAUCCUUUUCAUCUUGUCAGACGAUUCCUGUGUGCCGACACACUGACGCCAGUGAACAGGAUGUCGGAUGGGCCCUUAACAUCACUGACCACACCGAAGUUAUAAAAAGUACUCAAGAUGAUCCUGUCUGUCGGUAGGAAUGUCAGAACAAUUAUAUAAGCCGUGUUAUGACGUAACAAUAAAAAACAAAUAACACUUGUGGCAGGACAAUUGAUAACCAUUUACUUAUUAUCUGUCAUGCUUAUUUUCAUGAUUACCCUCAGAUUGGUCAAUAUAAAGCUAUUACAAUGAACUAUUUCUUAUUUCCUUUUAAAGCGGGUAUUUCGAUACCUGGCGUGCUGUAGAGGGUUAUAGUAUAUUGAAGAAGAUAUGAUGCACUAUGCACAAAAAAGCAAGUAACACCUCGGUCAAUGGUAA